Molecule: microRNA precursor, 61 nt
Filed under: Scyliorhinus torazame (cloudy catshark)
Lineage: Eukaryota; Metazoa; Chordata; Chondrichthyes; Carcharhiniformes; Scyliorhinidae
Description: Sto-Mir-9-P4_pre stem-loop
Rfam family: mir-9/mir-79 microRNA precursor family
About the family: The mature ~21nt miRNAs are processed from hairpin precursor sequences represented here. miR-9 is processed from the 5' arm of its precursor, and miR-79 from the 3' arm. The bounds of the precursors are predicted based on conservation and base pairing and are not generally known.
Source: RNAcentral
UCUUUGGUUAUCUAGCUGUAUGAGAUUGUUGAACCAUCAUAAAGCUAGAGAACCGAAUGUA